This is a long non-coding RNA of Acipenser ruthenus (sterlet), 559 nucleotides long. RefSeq lists it as uncharacterized. The transcript is spliced from 4 exons. The record is from RefSeq and is a predicted model, not a curated record. NCBI's taxonomy places the organism in Eukaryota, Metazoa, Chordata, Actinopteri, Acipenseriformes, Acipenseridae.
GGAUGACUGUUCCCUCUGGGAUGUCCAUCUCCUGCGUCCUCUUGUUCAGCUACCACAGCUUCAACAACAGCCGGUGUCCCAAUACUUCUUCCUCCAGCAACAGUCUCCUGGGGUUCAGCUUCCAAAGUAGCUGGCAGAGCCUCCUGAACAGGGUCCAAAGAUGCACCAACGGCAGCAUCAACACCAUCACCAGCACUAGCAUCAGCAUCAGUGACAACACCAGUAUCAAAGCCACCACUAGCACCAGCGACAGCUCCAACACCAGCAACAGACACUUCCUCUAACUGAGAACAAGAAGUCGUGACUGACCCUGUCGAACGCUUUCUCCUGAUCAACGUUCAACAAGCACAAAGUUGCUGAGGUUCCUGCAACCGGAUGCCCAGCGGUGCGAGACUCAUCAGCUGGAGCCUCUCUCGAAGUAGCCACCGGAAAAGCUGUCGGGAGGGUCCCACAUAAGAUAUUCUCCUGAUGUGUCUUCCGUCCCUGACCUCUCUUCCUCCGCAGAUGAAGAAAACUCCGGCAGAUCCCUGCACUCCACGUCCAAAGACACAUCGGAGAU